This 1050-nucleotide long non-coding RNA is filed under the name Marmota monax (woodchuck). Lineage: Eukaryota; Metazoa; Chordata; Mammalia; Rodentia; Sciuridae. The record is from RNAcentral.
CAUCUCUCUCCCUUGUCUCUAGCCCUAGGGCAUUAAUAGCACCCAGCAGUAGGUAAGUUGAGUGCAUCACCUAGGGAACAGGGUCAUGGCAGUGAUAGCAUUGCUUAGGGAUAUGGAUACAUGUGGAUAUAUCUUCCACGCUCAGUCCCAGAAAUCAAUAACUGGGACCAAGGCUCUGGAAGGAGUGUUGGCCCUUGGUGGGAAGGGAAGGCUAAAUGAGAAAAUGAUGAGUAAAUGGGAAAAAUGGGCAAAGUCUGACACAUUUUCUGCUGAGCUCAGGAAGUACAAUUCUCUGAUCUCAGAAGCUGUGAGUGGUAGCUCCUGCUGGGUGAGUGUACGUGGGAGCCUGGACAGGCCCCCAUUGUAAGCCCUGCACAUCAGAAAAUCCACUUGGGGUUUUCAAGAGUAUCUUCACCUGGGGGCAGAGUGAUGGACAAGAUAGCCUUUUCUAGCUCUUCUAGGACCCAGUCUUUACCAAGAAGAACUAGACUGGUCAGCCUCCUGUGGUUUCUAUCUGGGAUUUUCUAGCUGGUAGCAUUUAGUUAAUGAUGGUGGGGUUUGGGCUUGUGAAGUCAGAUAAAGUAGACUGAGAAGUGAUGGGAGGAAGGAGAGAGUAACCCAGAACAAACAUCAGUGCCUACUUCUGCCUUGUCUACUCUGUCCUGAUCCCUAAUGGAGAGUAGGCAGUGGGUAUUAUGAAGUCCCAGCAGCUGUUGAAGUCUCUCAAGUACUAACAAGCAAAAUUCAUCAAUUACACAUUACCAAAAUGAUAGAAUUAUGCCCAUCAGUCCCUAACCUUCAGAAAGAAGAUGGAGACCUGCUGCCCUCCAAUUCGUGGGACUAACACCUUGGGAUGUCCAGAGAAGAGUUGCCAAACUCUGCAACCUCUCUCCCAAGACAGUGAGGUCCUGGGGCUGUGUGGGAUACAACCAGACCACCAUGGACCUUAGCCCUUGCCCAGAAGACAAAUAUGAUACAUAAGACCCAACUGCUUACCUGAAGGUGAUGGCUGUUGGUGGUAAAUCGUUAGCAAAGUGCCUGAAAUGUAGC